GGCACUUGUGUUUUUAUUGAGUUGGUGGACAAAGACAUAAAAAUAGGUGCAAAAACUAACCCCCUUUGCAAUCCAGAAUUCAUGGUUCAUUUUGAGUUUUGAUACAUAUAAGACAUGAUACU
Small nucleolar RNA from Psammomys obesus (fat sand rat), 122 nucleotides. RefSeq annotates it as small nucleolar RNA SNORA40. The transcript has a single exon. The record is from RefSeq and is a predicted model, not a curated record. Lineage: Eukaryota; Metazoa; Chordata; Mammalia; Rodentia; Muridae.